Molecule: ribosomal RNA, 927 nt
Filed under: Pedobacter sp. 296P5BR
Lineage: Bacteria; Pseudomonadati; Bacteroidota; Sphingobacteriia; Sphingobacteriales; Sphingobacteriaceae
Description: bacterial SSU rRNA
Rfam family: Bacterial small subunit ribosomal RNA
Source: RNAcentral
UGCAGUCGAACGAUACUCUUUAGCUUGCUAGAGAGGAAAGUGGCGCACGGGUGCGUAACGCGUAUGCAACCUACCUUAAUCAGGGGGAUAGCCCGAAGAAAUUCGGAUUAACACCGCAUAAAAUCACAGUACAGCAUUGUACAAUGAUCAAAUAUUUAUAGGAUUAAGAUGGGCAUGCGUGACAUUAGUUAGUUGGCGGGGUAACGGCCCACCAAGACCACGAUGUCUAGGGGAUCUGAGAGGAUGACCCCCCACACUGGUACUGAGACACGGACCAGACUCCUACGGGAGGCAGCAGUAAGGAAUAUUGGUCAAUGGAGGCAACUCUGAACCAGCCAUGCCGCGUGCAGGAAGACAGCCCUCUGGGUCGUAAACUGCUUUUAUUCGGGAAUAAACCUACUUACGUGUAAGUAGCUGAAUGUACCGAAGGAAUAAGGAUCGGCUAACUCCGUGCCAGCAGCCGCGGUAAUACGGAGGAUCCAAGCGUUAUCCGGAUUUAUUGGGUUUAAAGGGUGCGUAGGCGGCUUUUUAAGUCAGGGGUGAAAGACGGUGGCUCAACCAUCGCAGUGCCCUUGAUACUGAAGAGCUUGAAUGAACUAGAGGUAGGCGGAAUGUGACAAGUAGCGGUGAAAUGCAUAGAUAUGUCACAGAACACCGAUUGCGAAGGCAGCUUACUAUGGUUAAAUUGACGCUGAGGCACGAAAGCGUGGGGAUCAAACAGGAUUAGAUACCCUGGUAGUCCACGCCCUAAACGAUGAAUACUCGCUGUUAGCGAUACACAGUUAGCGGCUAAGCGAAAGCGUUAAGUAUUCCACCUGGGGGAGUACGGUCGCAAGAUUGAAACUCAAAGGAAUUGACGGGGGGCCCGCACAAGCGGAGGAGCAUGUGGGUUUAAUUCGAUGAUACGCCGAGGAACCUUACCCGGGC